This 607-nucleotide ribosomal RNA is filed under the name uncultured Brevundimonas sp. Its description in RNAcentral is "bacterial SSU rRNA". It matches the Rfam family "Bacterial small subunit ribosomal RNA", at positions 128 to 769 of the family's 1533-position model. Lineage: Bacteria; Pseudomonadati; Pseudomonadota; Alphaproteobacteria; Caulobacterales; Caulobacteraceae. The record is from RNAcentral.
GCCUUUAGGUUCGGAAUAACUCAGGGAAACUUGUGCUAAUACCGAAUGUGCCCUUCGGGGGAAAGAUUUAUCGCCUUUAGAGCGGCCCGCGUCUGAUUAGCUAGUUGGUGAGGUAAUGGCUCACCAAGGCUACGAUCAGUAGCUGGUCUGAGAGGAUGACCAGCCACAUUGGGACUGAGACACGGCCCAAACUCCUACGGGAGGCAGCAGUGGGGAAUCUUGCGCAAUGGGCGAAAGCCUGACGCAGCCAUGCCGCGUGGAUGAUGAAGGUCUUAGGAUUGUAAAAUCCUUUCACCGGUGAAGAUAAUGACUGUAGCCGGAGAAGAAGCCCCGGCUAACUUCGUGCCAGCAGCCGCGGUAAUACGAAGGGGGCUAGCGUUGCUCGGAAUUACUGGGCGUAAAGGGAGCGUAGGCGGACAUUUAAGUCAGGGGUGAAAUCCCAGAGCUCAACUCUGGAACUGCCUUUGAUACUGGGUGUCUUGAGUGUGAGAGAGGUAAGUGGAACUCCGAGUGUAGAGGUGAAAUUCGUAGAUAUUCGGAAGAACACCAGUGGCGAAGGCGACUUACUGGCUCAUUACUGACGCUGAGGCUCGAAAGCGUGGGGAGC